AUUGAACGCUGGCGGCAGGCCUAACACAUGCAAGUCGAACGAGUGGCGGACGGGUGAGUAAUGUCUGGGAAACUGCCUGAUGGAGGGGGAUAACUACUGGAAACGGUAGCUAAUAACGCAUACCAUCGGAUGUGCCCAGAUGGGAUUAGCUAGUAGGUGGGGUAAAGGCUCACCUAGGCGACGAUCCCUAGCUGGUCGGAGAGGAUGACCAGUCACACUGGAACUGCGACACGGUCCAGACUCCUACGGGAGGUAGCAGUGGGGAAUAUUGCACAAUUGGCGGAAGCCUGAUGCAUCCAUGCCUCGUGUAUGAAGAAGGCCUUCGGUUUGUAAAGUACUUUCAGCGGGGAGGCGUUACCCUCAGAAGAAGCACCGGCUAACUCCGUGCCAGCAGCCGCGGUAAUAC
This 406-nucleotide ribosomal RNA is filed under the name uncultured bacterium. RNAcentral's name for it is "partial 16S ribosomal RNA". It matches the Rfam family "Bacterial small subunit ribosomal RNA", at positions 30 to 526 of the family's 1533-position model. The record is from RNAcentral.